AGGGGUGUGCUUAUUUAUAGAAGUAGUUGGGGUCGUAAAUUCCUCGUAAAUUAACGACGAAAUAACAAAGCCCGUGUUUUCAAUUUCGUCGUAAAAUCGUCGUAAUAUUACGAGGAAAUAGCAAGUCCCGUGUUUUCCUUUACGACGAAUUAGUAAGGCCCGUGUUUCCAGUUUCGUCGUAAAAUCGUCAUAAAAUUACGAGGAAAUAACAAGGCCCGUGUUUUCCUUUACGACGAAUUAGUAAGGCCCGUGUUUCCAGUUUCGUCGUAAAAUCGUCAUAAAAUUACGAGGAAAUAACAAGGCCCGUGUUUUCCUUUACGACGAUUUUAGGAGGAAGGUCUGCAAAUCCCUAUCACCCGAAU
This 362-nucleotide long non-coding RNA is filed under the name Brassica napus (rape). Its description in RNAcentral is "long non-coding RNA (BNAP_LNC010913)". Lineage: Eukaryota; Viridiplantae; Streptophyta; Magnoliopsida; Brassicales; Brassicaceae. The record is from RNAcentral.